RNAcentral lists this ribosomal RNA (344 nucleotides) under uncultured Verrucomicrobiota bacterium. RNAcentral's name for it is "bacterial SSU rRNA". It matches the Rfam family "Bacterial small subunit ribosomal RNA", at positions 29 to 351 of the family's 1533-position model. Lineage: Bacteria; Pseudomonadati; Verrucomicrobiota. The record is from RNAcentral.
AACGAACGCUGGCGGCGUGGAUAAGACAUGCAAGUCGAACGCUAAUUACGAGGUAGCAAUAUUUCGUGGUUGGAGUGGCGCAAGGGUGCGUAACACGUGGGUAAUUUGCCGUGAAGUUGGGGAUAACUCGCUGAAAGGUGAGCUAAUACCGGAUGUGACUGUUGGGAGGCAUCUCCUGGCAGUUAAAGUUGGGGACCGCAAGGCCUGACGCUUUACGAUAAGCCCGCGGCCUAUCAGCUAGUUGGUGAGGUAACGGCUCACCAAGGCUAAGACGGGUAGCUGGUCUGAGAGGACGACCAGCCACACUGGAACUGAGACACGGUCCAGACACCUACGGGUGGCUG